UAGUUAAAAAAAAAGAUUCAUUGUUCUUCAUAUUGAUUUUUUGUGGUUUUUAUUGUGAUCACUGAUCAUGAUGUGAUUUAUGUUAUUGUCCAUAUUAAAUCUAAUUUUUUUACCUUUUUUAUCCAACGUAGGCGCUAAAAAUACAUGCUGGGUAAGAGAUUAAACUUGGAUCGGUUGCUUCGUGGUUUUCAAAAGGGAGCCAGAAGAACCGAUCUGCAGCACCAUUGGAGCUUGGUCGGAGGCCGAGAAUAUUGUCAGCAUAAGCCGAGAUGUUUGUAGGAGGGCCUACAGGGUGAGUGGGGGAGUCCAAAGAUCCAAGGGUCGCUCCAUAAGGAGGCUGGUGGGUAACUUGAAGCACGACAUGGAGUGGGUUGAAAUAGCAGAGGGUACAGAUUUAAGCAUUGUCAACUUCCCUGCAGGCAACAGCUUCUACAUCCCCAUGUUGGUGAACCGGAUCAGGGGAUGUAGAACAAUAAGAUAAAUAUGAAGAUAAAUGGUCUGAGAAGAAAAAUAAAUGGGAGAAGACAAAGAUGAUGAAGAAGAAGAAUGAAAAGAAUAUAUUUGUAUUGCUUUUGCUUUCUUUUUGUUUUUUCACUAUCUUGGUAAUACUUUGGAUUUUAUUCGAUAUGAUCAAUCCAAUUGGCGAGUUUUCA
Long non-coding RNA from Eutrema salsugineum, 653 nucleotides. RefSeq lists it as uncharacterized. The transcript is spliced from 4 exons. The record is from RefSeq and is a predicted model, not a curated record. NCBI's taxonomy places the organism in Eukaryota, Viridiplantae, Streptophyta, Magnoliopsida, Brassicales, Brassicaceae.